Molecule: ribosomal RNA, 497 nt
Filed under: uncultured bacterium
Lineage: Bacteria
Description: partial 16S ribosomal RNA
Rfam family: Bacterial small subunit ribosomal RNA
Source: RNAcentral
GACGAACGCUGGCGGCGUGCCUAAUACAUGCAAGUUGAGCUAUGAAGAUUGGUGCUUGCACCAAUUUGCAGAGCAGCGAACGGGUGAGUAACGCGUGGGGAAUCUGCCUUUGAGCGGGGGACAACAUUUGGAAACUAAUGCUAAUACCGCAUAACAACUUUAAACAUAAGUUUUAAGUUUGAAAGAUGCAAUUGCAUCACUCAAAGAUGAUCCCGCGUUGUAUUAGCUAGUUGGUGAGGUAAAGGCUCACCAAGGCGAUGAUACAUAGCCGACCUGAGAGGGUGAUCGGCCACAUUGGGACUGAGACACGGCCCAAACGCCUACGGGAGGCAGCAGUAGGGAAUCUUCGGCAAUGGACGAAAGUCUGACCGAGCAACGCCGCGUGAGUGAAGAAGGUUUUCGGAUCGUAAAACUCUGUUGGUAGAGAAGAACGUUGGUGAGAGUGGAAAGCUCAUCAAGUGACGGUAACUACCCAGAAAGGGACGGCUAACUACGUG